Molecule: small nuclear RNA, 103 nt
Organism: Pteronotus mesoamericanus
Lineage: Eukaryota; Metazoa; Chordata; Mammalia; Chiroptera; Mormoopidae
Source: RefSeq, a predicted model, not a curated record
GUGCUCACUUUGGCAGCACAUAUACUAAAAUUGGAAUGAUACAGAAAUCAGCAUGGCUCUGCACAAGGAUAACACACAAAUUCAUGAAGCAUUACAUAUUUUU